UCUUAUGGAUAAGCAAAGAAAGUAGUUUCCUGAUAUAGAAUCUAAUCCUGAUAAAGAUGCUGUGAA
RNAcentral lists this microRNA precursor (66 nucleotides) under Marmota monax (woodchuck). Lineage: Eukaryota; Metazoa; Chordata; Mammalia; Rodentia; Sciuridae. The record is from RNAcentral.